GCCAGUGACCAGCACGUUCGCUCUGUACAGACAGGGCCUCCGGAGCCGUGUGCGCAGGUUCGAAUCCUGCCGGGGGCA
This 78-nucleotide transfer RNA is filed under the name Streptomyces sp. AK010. RNAcentral's name for it is "tRNA-Ser". The record is from RNAcentral. Lineage: Bacteria; Bacillati; Actinomycetota; Actinomycetes; Kitasatosporales; Streptomycetaceae.